UGGGGAAUAUUGGACAAUGGGCGCAAGCCUGAUCCAGCCAUGCCGCGUGAGUGAUGACGGCCUUAGGGUUGUAAAGCUCUUUCACCCACGACGAUAAUGACGGUAGUGGGAGAAGAAGCCCCGGCUAACUUCGUGCCAGCAGCCGCGGUAAUACGAAGGGGGCUAGCGUUGUUCGGAUUUACUGGGCGUAAAGCGUACGUAGGCGGAUCGUUAAGUCAGAGGUGAAAUCCCGGAGCUCAACUUCGGAAUUGCCUUUGAUACUGGCGAUCUUGAGUUCGGGAGAGGUGAGUGGAACUGCUAGUGUAGAGGUGAAAUUCGUAGAUAUUAGCAAGAACACCAGUGGCGAAGGCGGCUCACUGGCCCGAUACUGACGCUGAGGUACGAAAGCGUGGGGAGCAAACA
RNAcentral lists this ribosomal RNA (402 nucleotides) under uncultured bacterium. Its description in RNAcentral is "bacterial SSU rRNA". It matches the Rfam family "Bacterial small subunit ribosomal RNA", at positions 355 to 774 of the family's 1533-position model. The record is from RNAcentral.